Long non-coding RNA from Acinonyx jubatus (cheetah), 6826 nucleotides. RefSeq lists it as uncharacterized. NCBI's taxonomy places the organism in Eukaryota, Metazoa, Chordata, Mammalia, Carnivora, Felidae. The transcript is spliced from 6 exons. The record is from RefSeq and is a predicted model, not a curated record.
GUGGAGGUUCUAGGAAACUAGAACCAUUUGCAAUGAAAUGGUUGCAGGCCAGGAUAUUUGUCUUCUAUUCUCUGUUAUCUCCCUUCUGCUUUUGUAUGGUUACUUAUCCAUGUUCUCUAUCCUCUUUUCCUUCUUUUCAUUUCUUUCUUCAUCUAGUCAGAAUAGUUCUUGGUAAAGCAUUCUGGUGGAAAGUUAAGAGGAAAUUACGUUAAUGGGGGCUAGAAAUAGAGGAAGUACUUUCUCACACAGUGGAGAGAGAGAUCAGAUACCCUGGCUGCAGGCUUCAAAGGAAUGGCAGGUUGUUGUAUGACAGAGCAAAUCAAUCAGGAUGCAUCCAAAAUGUACAAAUUAUGUGCAAAGAAGGAGCGGAAUGGCUUGAACUCUAACAAAUGAGUUCAGACAAUAAAUCUUUUUUGUCACCAUUAUUAAAAUAACUCUCACAAGAGAUUUGUUAUGUAUAUGAAGAUUUUUUAAACAUUAUCAGAAAUAUUAUGGACUACAGCCUACCUUGCUAUGCCUCAAUAUCAUUCUCUAUACCAUGGGAAUAAUAUUUUAUUACUUCUUUAUGGGUUGUUGUAAAAGAUUAAUACAUGCAAGGCACUUUGAACAGUGCCAGCCACACAGAAACUACUCAAUAAAUGUCAGUGAUUCCUCCUUUUAUUAUUUUUGUCAUUACUAUUAUAGGAGAGGAUAAGGUACAUAUAAACUGAUGAGGGUGGUAAUGGAGGGCAUCCCAAAGGAAUGAUGUUCAACUGGGGAUGGAAGUAAAAAGAGCAUGGAAAUUACUCUAAUUAGAAAAAAUUAGCAUGUGCAAAGGCACUAAGGUCAGAGGUCCUACUACAGUAGCAUCUCCCUCCAGGAGAAGGAGGAAAGGGAGGACAAUUUUGAGGAAGAAGUGAACAACAGGAUUAAAUGCCAGAGAGUUCGAGGACAGUGAGGGCAGGAAAUAACUUUGGAUUUAUUGAUUAGGAAGCCACAGUGUUAUGGGCUGAAUUGUGUCUCCUCAAACUUCAUACGUUGAAAGCCUAACAGUACACCUCAGAAUGUGACUGAAUUUGAAGAUAGGACCUUGAAAGGGGUGAUUAAGUUAAAAUGAGUCCAUUAGGGUGGGCACUAAUCCAACCUGACUCGUGUGCUUAUUGGAAGAGGAAAUUUAGACUCACCAAAAGAGAGGGAUGUGACACACACAAAAAAAGACCAAAGCCCAUGUGAGGGCACGAUGAGGAAACAGCUAUCUGCAAACCAAAUAGAAAGAUAUCUCUGAAGAAAUAAACCUGCUGACACAUUGCUCUUGGAAGUCUAGCCUCUAGAACUGUGAGAAAAUGAAUUUCUGUUGUUUAAUCCCCUGGUCUCUGAUAUUUUGUUAUGGCAGUCCUAUAAAACUAAUCCAUACUGUUACAUUCAAAGAGAGUAGGUAAUGCAAUAGUUAUAUAUAGUCAUAAUAGUCAUAAUGCAAUAAGUUAAUGAUGAGUGGACGGCAAGGAAUUAGAAGCUAUUGGAAAAGUAAUGGAUUUUUAGGGGGUUGAAAAUAUACCAUGAUUUUUUCCCAGAGGAUUUGGUUACUGUGGGGAUAGUUGCUUCUAAGUGACUUUGAGAUUUAUACAGUUUUUGCUUUCUUUAAGAUUUAUUUUUAUAAUCAAAUAAUUUUAAAAUGCCGUGUAGAGAAAUUACCUUAUCGGUACUUGAGUGUCAUAGCUGAAUCUCUCUCAUGACCACAGGGUGAGCCAUGGUAUUUACUCUUAUAGUGAUGAUAUCAGCAAUUCCAAAGUUGGAAAUGUAGUUUCCCUAGAGUCAGGAAGAGUUCUAUUUUUGUGGCAAGGGGGUGGGGGAGGAUGAUCCUCGGGAAGAGACAUAAAAGUAUUGGGGGUAGUCUUUGUUUUCUUCUAAAAUAGUAUCUUUGUCUCGAGUUCCAACUCUUGAAUUGCAGAAAUAAGGCCACUCACACAUUCAAAAAAUAUUCAUCAAGCAGUAUUAAAUAUGCAAGGUCAAGAAUUCAGGAUUUACAAGAGUUAACGAUCUAACUUGAUUUCAUACCAUCCUCUAAAGUUAAGCCUGUUCUCACUGAUGCAAAGCUUCUUUGUGUCUCUGUGGUCUUGCCUGACGUUCUCGUCAUCCCCACUACGAUUUGGUUAUGUUUUAUUUAUACCUGGAAUAGCAUUCAAUCACUAGUCCAAAAUAUUCUCUAUGCUUCUCCAUUCUAUUCCUCUUUUAAGGUCUGCUCAAGUCCUUCCUCUCAUAAUGAAGUUUUAUCUAUAUACUCUAAUCAAAAGGAGUCUGUUUUUUAUUAUUUCCCAUAAUGCUUAUAUUCUAUCUAUCCUCCAGAAUAGGAUGAGAAUUAUUGGCCUUGGUCUUGGACAAACUUUGGCUUAAAUGUGAGAUCUUUAAUUUGACAGCCAUUCAACUUUGGGUGAAUUGGUUAAUUUUUCUGAAACUUCAUUUAUUUUCUUGCAAAAGUAAAUGAGUAAAAGGAUUGUGUUAAUAAUUAAAUUAGACUCUGUGUUUGAAGUACAAAGCAUAUAGUUGAUGACCAAGAGUCUGUGUUCUCUUGGUUAGAAGGAAAAGUAACUUACUCUAAGUAAAAAUGAGGUUAUCUUAAAGACAUGAGGAUGUCUCACAAUAAUCCAGGACAGACUAAACAACCGGGCUGCAGAGUCAGUGGGAAUUGAGGCAAUCUUAAGUGCCAGCCACUUCCCCAUCUUUGUCUUUCUGUCGCAUGGCAUCCUGUUUCCUCUCUGCAGUUACUCUGAUCUCUCACUCCCAGCCAGCUUCUCUGAGUCUCAAUUUCCUCAUAACAUGGCUCAGAAAUGGUCACUGCAGCCCAAACUCUAGAUGAACCUUCAGCUCAAGCAUCCAAAUUACAGCUCCAUUAAUUCCUGGCUAUAUGACCAGGGACAGGUUCCUUGAAUCUCACCUCCUGUAUUUUGCAAGGGAUGAUACCAUGUCUCUACUUACCUCAAAAGAUGAAUGCAAAAAGUGCCAUCAGUUAACAAACAUGAAGUCAUUCUGUAAUUGCAAGAUAACCCUCUGAUGGCUCUGAGGAAUGUUAACCUCUGGAGUAGCAGCUCUCAACAAAACAUGGUCCUGCUGAUGUUUCAUGCCUCUGUUGAAAAGGCAAGAACUGCAUUUUCCUUAGGAAAAAAACAAACAAACAAACGCUAUUCUUUUGAAGUUUGACAAAUUACAAGACAACAAGAUUUAGAGAGAAUUGAGAAGACAUAAGAUAGUCUUAUGUCUUCAUAAGGUAUCCCUGAACCCCAUUAUUAUGCAGACCCCCGAAUUGGGUGAACUGUCUCUUAGCCAGAAUUUGGAGAGAUCAAGGAGGCACUGAUUGAUCUUCCCCACCAUGGAAAAUUACCACUCUGGCAACUCUGCAAGUUAACAAGAUGACCCACGUCCUCGUUUUGCAGAUGAGGAACUGAGGCUAAGAGAAGUUAAGUGACUUGACAAAAAUCAUAGCAGAACUGAAACUUGUGUGUAUUUUCACGUUAUGGAAAUCAAUUUUUGUGCCUAGAAAAGAACUAUUCAAGAUUAUUUUGGUGCAAAAUUAGUAUUCAAUUAAUUUGAAACCCUUGUUUUUCUUAAGCUUGUAUGCUAGUUUAUAAAUUGAAUUAAGAAACUUAUCAAUUUAGCAAGUUUAAUAAUUACUUUGAAGGAAUACUUUACAACUUAAUUAAAUUCUUUGAAUAUCUAGCCACAUUUAUUAAUAUGCUAUAUUUUUAUUUCCUUUUAAGUACAUUGUGUGACUUAACAAUCUUUCCAAUAACUUAAUUAAUUCUUAUAAAUCUAAUAAAUUAGUUUUUAGAUAUGGUGAACUUCAGUUUCUCUUAAAUGUUUCAAAUGAAAUUUCAAUCUGAAAUGUUAAGUCUAAAGCAAUGAAUCAAUUACUCAUUUUAACUUGGAAUUGUAAGAUUGAUCUCUUAUUCUAAUAGGUCUAAUUUUCUUGAACAGUACAAAUAAUUAAACUUCAAAAUAAGCACAGAUUCCUAAAGACAAAUAUUUUAAUGCUUUUAUAUUUUGGUUUUCUUAUUCAUAAAACAAAAUUUUGCUAUCAUUAAAAGAUAAGGACACAAUGCUAUCGCCCCAUUAAUUUUGAUGUUACUUUCCUAAAGUAAUUUUAGGAGAUGCCUUCUCAAUUUUCUGGGGUUUCUUAAAUACCAGAAAUAUCAACAGGACAUGACUGGACCCUUAUCUGUUGGGACAAUGUAUCUGUUGGGACACAUUGAGAUCUAUUUACCUAAGUCAGUUCUCUCUGUGGUAGACAGCAUUCCAACAUGACCUUUAAGAUUUCUGCCCCCUAGUGUGCACAACCUAUAUAACCACCUCCCCUUGGGUGUGGGUAGAAUUUGUGAAUAUGAGGAGUUAUUACUCUUACAAUUGUUACAUUACAUGGCAAAAGGAAUUUCCCAGAUGUGACAAAUUUCCAGAUGGAAUGAAUUUAAGUUAAUCAAAGGGGGGGAAUUUCCCAGGCAGGUCUGAUUUAAUCAGGUGAGCCUUAAAAGAAGCCAGAAGCAGUGAGAGUACUCUCCUGCUGGCCUUGGAAAGGGACUUUCAAGUCUGAAAGGAGGUCAUAGCCCUGGAUGACACCUUGAUUUCAGUCUUGAUUUCAGUCUGAUAAAACUCUGAGCAGAAGAUCCAGCCAACCCACAUCCAGAGUCCCCCUUAGGAACUGCCAGAUAAUAAAUUUGUUUUACUUUAACUUGCUAAGUUUGUGGUGAUUUGUUAGAAAUCAAUUUAGAAAAUGAAUACAUUCUCCAACAGGGGUGGUCUUACCACUUGUGUGCUUCAAGUUCAAGUUAUACAUAUCUAAAUCGUUCGUCCACUAACAGAGACCUGAAUGCACCACCACCCCCAACUCCAGGCUGUUGUUCCUUGAUAGGAUUUUGCAUCGUUUGCCAGGUGAGAUAUUUAAAUGUCUUCCCAUGUAUAAGAGCUUUGUCAAAUAUCUAAGUUCCUGUAUAUAGGAACUUGAAGGAGCUCCUCUCUGUUUGUUAUAUUCUUCCUGUAUUUGGGUCAUAACUCAUCUAGACAGUAUAAUGACAUCCCAUUGAAUUCUUUAUAUCUUUCAUGAUUUUGCCUAACUAUUCCAAUGUCAGUUUCUGGAAAACACUAGAGUCCACAUCUGAUUCUAGAAUCAAUCUCCUUCUAUUCUUCCCUUUAAUAAGCAGGCAUAAGCUAAGUUUUGAUGAACAGUCUUGAGUGUUGAAAUGAUAUUGGGAUUCCUACUUUCCCUCGUCAUUCUGAGAGCAUUCCAAAAUCUCUCUGGCUAGUGUUCGUGGGUUCUCUCUGCUUUCUCUAAAACACUAGUAAUUAUAUUCUGACAUCAUCACUUACUUAGUCCCUCAAAAAUGUAUAAUGAGCCUUCUCUCCAAUGAUCCUGAAGUCCACUUGUGCAUUUAUUCAUUAAGCUUUUCUCUUAACAGUACAAUGAUAGUUGACCAUAAUACAUAAUACUCUGAGACAUACAAAGAAUAAAAGAUAACAAUUCUUAUUCCAUAAGAUUUUAUGGUCUAUUUGGAAACAAGAUAUGGAUACAAAAAAAUCAAUAAUUUUGCAUACAAAAUCAUAAAGUUUAAGUGAUACAUGUUAAGUGACAUGACUGGUAAAAAUACUAAGUGGAGGUACAGAUUAGAGUAAGUUAAAAAACGCAGAGCAAGUAGAAUUUAAGUUCAUUUAUUCAUUCAACAAGCAUAUAUUUAGAGUCUCUGAUGUAUCAGGUGCUAUGUUAGGCACUGAGGGGCCAAGAAUAAGGCACAGUCACCCUCUCCAUCAAGCUAACAUCAUAGCUGAGAAAACAAAAGCAUAAGAAAAGUAUGAGGACACACACUAUGACAAACACUGUUAUGAUGGUGUAUACAAUAUGUAAUGCAAAGGAAGUGGAGAGAAGGAUUAGGCUGACGAUAAAGAUGGGUGGAAGUCAGUGGUGAGGGAACCUUUCAAGAGGUGACAUUUUCGUUGAGCCUUCUGGCAGAAAUAACACUUGUCUUUUUGUUUAACCAUUUCAGCCAAGCCAAGAACUACCCCAAGCACUGUAUACUAAUGAACCUCAUAUAAUCCUCCCAAUGACUUCAUUUGAUCAAGGAUAUAAUGGCAGUGUGGAGUAAUUCCCAAAGAUGACACAGAGGUCAUUCGGUCACAUCUCCUCCAGCACGGCUCCAAUCUCCAAUCAAAGCUAUUCUCGUCUCUCUCAGAUUUUUGAAGACUCCAGUCUCUCUGCUACUGCCAUUGCCUUACACCUGGUCUCUUUGUGAUCUUUCAAAAACACAAAUCAGAUAAUGUCAGUGCUCUGAACAAACUUUCCAACAGCUUCCCAUCUCACUUGCAUUAAAACCUAAGGUUCUUAGCACAGCUUUCAAGAUCCUGCGUGAUUUUGCCCUCACUCCUGUGACAUCAUUACCUACCACUCUCCCGAAUCCAUCAUUCUACAGCCACCCAUCUCCCUCUUUGCUGCUCCUUGAAUGCACCAAGAAUGCUCCUUGCUGAUCCCCCUGUCUGGAACACUAUCCCCCAGAUAUUGGCAUGCCUCACUUCCAGACCUCAAUUCAGGUCUCUGAACAAAUGUCAUCUUCUCAGAAAAGCCUUCCUGACCAGCUGUGGAAAACACAAAGCACUCACCUCUCUGCUCCCACUUCACUCUGAAUCCUUACCCUGCUUUAUUUUUCACUGUGACACUAAUCAGAUAUUUUCUGUCUUCAUCAAUGAGAAUAACGUCCUUGAACUUUAUACUCCUCUUUACUUUAUCCCCAACACGCAACACAAAGCUGGCACUAGAGGCUCAGUAAGUGGUGUUGAAUCUGUGUAUUCAUUAAUAAAUGAAGUGAUUUGUCAA